CCCUUAGAUGUCCUGGGCUGUACGCGCGCUACACUGAUGUGUCCAGUAAGCACCUAACCUCUUCCGAAAGGAACGGGUAACCUUUGCAAAGCACAUCGUGAUGGGGAUAGAUUAUUGCAAUUAUUAGUCUUGAACGAGGAAUUCCUAGUAAGCACAAGUCAUCAGCUUGUGUUGAUUACGUCCCUGCCCUUUGUACACACCGCCCGUCGCUCCUACCGAUUGAAUGUUCCGGUGAGCUCUUCGGACUGCGCGGUCUGCAGUUUCUGCGUUCCGUGCGGAAAGUUGCGCAAACCUUAACAUUUAGAGGAAGGAGAAGUCGUAACA
Molecule: ribosomal RNA, 324 nt
Filed under: uncultured eukaryote
Lineage: Eukaryota
Description: partial 18S ribosomal RNA
Rfam family: Eukaryotic small subunit ribosomal RNA
Source: RNAcentral